GUUAAAUAGCCGCUGUAUUUUGACUGUUCGAAGGUACCAUAAUCAUUUGUCUUUUAAUUGAAGGCUUGUAUGAAUGGUUGGAUGAGGGGAUUACUUUCUUUAUAUUAAUAUUUGAAUUUAAUUUUUAGGUUAAAAAGCUUAAAUUUAUAAAUGGGACGAGAAGACCCUGUAGAAUUUUAUUUUAGGUAGGAUAUUAUUAUUUUGGUAAUUAAAUAUCAUUAUUAUAGUUAAGAUUUUGUGGGGGUGCCAGUAAGAUUUUAUAAACUUUUAUAAUUUAUUUAAUGUAUAUUAGCAUAUUAAGGAUCCUAUGUUAAGGAUAUUUAGAUCAAAUUACCUCAGGGAUAACAGCGUAAUUUCUUUGGAGAGUUCUUAUCGAUAAAGAAGUUUGCGACCUCGAUGUUGGAUUAAAAUAAAAUUUAAAGGCAGAAGCUUAAU
Molecule: ribosomal RNA, 435 nt
Filed under: Carbula scutellata
Lineage: Eukaryota; Metazoa; Arthropoda; Insecta; Hemiptera; Pentatomidae
Description: partial 16S ribosomal RNA
Source: RNAcentral